Molecule: ribosomal RNA, 460 nt
Filed under: uncultured bacterium
Lineage: Bacteria
Description: partial 16S ribosomal RNA
Rfam family: Bacterial small subunit ribosomal RNA
Source: RNAcentral
CCUACGGGUGGCUGCAGUGAGGAAUAUUGGUCAAUGGGCGGGAGCCUGAACCAGCCAAGUCGCGUGAGGGAAGACGGUCCUAUGGAUUGUAAACCUCUUUAGGCGGGGAGCAAUGCCGGGCACGCGUGCCCGGAGGGAGAGUACCCGCAGAAUAAGCAUCGGCUAACUCCGUGCCAGCAGCCGCGGUAAUACGGAGGAUGCGAGCGUUAUCCGGAUUUAUUGGGUUUAAGGGGUGCGUAGGCGGAUUUUUAAGUCAGCGGUAAAAGGUCCGGGCUAAACCCGGGCCAGCCGUUGAAACUGGCGGUCUCGAGUGGGAGAGAGGUAUGCGGAAUGCGCGGUGUAGCGGUGAAAUGGAUAGAUAUCGCGCAGAACUCCGAUUGCGAAGGCAGCAUGCCGGCUCCACACUGACGCUGAGGCACGAAAGCGUGGGGAUCGAACAGGAUUAGAUACCCUUGUAGUC